AUUGAACGCUGGCGGCAUGCUUUACACAUGCAAGUCGAACGGUAACAGGCCGCAAGGUGCUGACGAGUGGCGAACGGGUGCGUAAUGCAUCGGAACGUGCCCAGUCGUGGGGGAUAACUACUCGAAAGAGUAGCUAAUACCGCAUACGAUCUAUGGAUGAAAGCGGGGGACCGUAAGGCCUCGCGCGAUUUGAGCGGCCGAUGUCAGAUUAGUUAGUUGGUGGGGUAAAGGCUCACCAAGCCAACGAUCUGUAGCUGGUCUGAGAGGACGACCAGCCACACUGGGACUGAGACACGGCCCAGACUCCUACGGGAGGCAGCAGUGGGGAAUUUUGGACAAUGGGCGCAAGCCUGAUCCAGCAAUGCCGCGUGCAGGAAGAAGGCCUUCGGGUUGUAAACUGCUUUUGUACGGAACGAAACGGCUCUGGUUAAUACCCGGGGCUAAUGACGGUACCGUAAGAAUAAGCACCGGCUGACUACGUG
RNAcentral lists this ribosomal RNA (482 nucleotides) under uncultured bacterium. Its description in RNAcentral is "partial 16S ribosomal RNA". It matches the Rfam family "Bacterial small subunit ribosomal RNA", at positions 30 to 507 of the family's 1533-position model. The record is from RNAcentral.